RNAcentral lists this ribosomal RNA (274 nucleotides) under uncultured bacterium. RNAcentral describes it as "partial 16S ribosomal RNA". It matches the Rfam family "Bacterial small subunit ribosomal RNA", at positions 523 to 796 of the family's 1533-position model. The record is from RNAcentral.
AUACGAAAGGUGCAAGCGUUGUUCGGAUUUACUGGGCGUAAAGAGAGUGGAGGUGGUUUAUUAAGUCGGAUGUGAAAUCCCGGGGCUCAACCUCGGAACUGCAUUCGAUACUGAUAGGCUAGAGUUUGGGAGGGGUAAGCGGAAUUCCGUGUGUAGCAGUGAAAUGCGUAGAUAUACGGAGGAACACCUGAGGCGAAGGCGGCUUACUGGACCAAUACUGACACUGAGACUCGAAAGCGUGGGUAGCAAACAGGAUUAGAAACCCUAGUAGUCC